UGCAUUCCUGCCUCGAGGCCUGCCAGGUA
Molecule: non-coding RNA, 29 nt
Filed under: Homo sapiens (human)
Lineage: Eukaryota; Metazoa; Chordata; Mammalia; Primates; Hominidae
Source: RNAcentral